UGGCAGCCGCCGGCAGCGAGCCAAAAGCCAUCCGUCGGAUCGAUCGGUUGGACGUAUGGGAGAAACCAAGAAGACACACCCACCCACGCCCAGGCCGCCACCGGUUCCCGCUCGCGCCGGCAGUCGGAGUUGGUCGAUCGUCACACGACCGACCGCUGGCCGGGUCGCCGGCCGGAGACGGGGAAGGAGGACUGGACUGUGGACACUGGAGAAGAUGGGUAUGCCGUGCUUGGUGGGCCUUCGGUGACUCCACUUGGGCUGGAUUAAGUCACGCUAGUCUAGUGGGCCUCAUUUGUGUCCUCUUCGGCUCCGGCGACGGCGGCCGCGGCUUCCUCGGUGAUCACCCUGCUGGCUGGCCUUGGAUUGUGACUGUGACGUGGAGAAGCUGCAGGUCACCUCUCCCUCUCCCUCUCUGUCUCUGUCUAUCUAUGGGGAGCAAAAAUCCCAAUAGGUCUGGCCGUCUGGGCGGAUUUCGCUUUGGGGUCCCUGCCAAACCGUGGGCAGUUAAGAGUCGAGUCUUCGGAAACCGAUCGAAUCGAUUGGUCGUACGCGAUCACAGAACACGGCACUACGAUCUAUCGGCACGUGUAUAAUGGUUCAGUUUCGGCACAGUUCAAUUCAACAGCACCUACAAACUGAACAAGGUUCAGCAGUCAGGGAUCAUUGGCGAGUUCAUAGGGGUAAUCUCAAAUGCUCUUGCCAUUUCAACAUCUACGAACUCUGUCAAAUAUUCUGGCAUGUCGGGCACCAUGAAUAAGCUUUCAAAGAUUUCAUCCUGAACGCCAUGGACAUCGGUAUUGACAAACACUGAGCUACUGUUUUGGUUUUGACUGACGAUUGGCAUGCUGUCCUGUGUUGCCCCAACAACAUGUGGAUGAACUAUGCCAUCACUGUUGCAAAUGUGCU
Long non-coding RNA from Sorghum bicolor (sorghum), 906 nucleotides. RefSeq lists it as uncharacterized. The transcript has 3 exons. The record is from RefSeq and is a predicted model, not a curated record. Lineage: Eukaryota; Viridiplantae; Streptophyta; Magnoliopsida; Poales; Poaceae.